GUGCUCGCUUUGGCAGCACAUAUACUAAAAUUGGAAUGAUACAGGGCCCCUGCUCAAGGAUAACAUGCAAAUUCGUGAAGCAUUCCAUAUUUUU
Molecule: small nuclear RNA, 94 nt
Organism: Loxodonta africana (African savanna elephant)
Lineage: Eukaryota; Metazoa; Chordata; Mammalia; Proboscidea; Elephantidae
Source: Ensembl